AAAAAACAUAAAAAUACAACUAGAAAACAGUUUAUUCCAUUGAAACCGUAGUAUAAGUUGUUUCUGUUGGUUCUGUUCUAUUAGAAGGUCUGGAAAAGGUUCUGAUUGGACGGUUCAGAGUAACCUGAUAGUUUUUCAACCCGAUGGUAGAAAGUUUCUUCCAGGAACGGCGUCCUGUGGCGUCCUGUGGCGUCCUCGCUCUGUGCUUCUUCUGUAACUCCGGGGUUAUUGGUGCUGGCAGAUGCUUCAAAGCCGCCCGCUUCCCUAGACUAAAACCAGAGCUCAGCCAUCAACGGCGCCGCCACCUGCACUGCUGAGAGUGAGACCAGAACCAGGUCUGCUGCUUCAGGUCCGGUUACAGCCUCACGUUACGACUCAACACAGACUCUGCUGUAACUGUGAGACUUUCACAGACGGACGGCACACCAGGAAUCUGAAGCAUCAUCCCAGCAGCUUAUGAGGUGAGGACAGACCAACACAGCCGAAAAAUCCCAGAAGGUUCUGCAAAGAAGCUCGGAGUUUUCCAUUUUUGUCUGCUCAACAUCUGUGGACAGCAGCGCCAUCUGCAGGACACCUGAACUGAAGCAGGACCAGCCUCACCACUGAAGAUGCCUUCAGAGACUCUGCCGGCGGGACGCUCGGAUCCCUCGCUGACAGCUUCGUCUGCUGAGGUCGUUCAGGAGGACCGGCCCCAGGGCCCACGGCAGUCCGGCCCCGGGGCCCACGGCGGUCCGGUGGGGAACCACAGCUGUAGGCGUGGCUAUCUGGACUUCAAAGGGAUUGGUCCCGCGUGAGCGGCUGGUCAUGUGAUCGACGCAC
Molecule: long non-coding RNA, 819 nt
Filed under: Oryzias sinensis (Chinese medaka)
Lineage: Eukaryota; Metazoa; Chordata; Actinopteri; Beloniformes; Adrianichthyidae
Description: lncRNA (ENSOSIG00000018831.1)
Source: RNAcentral